Molecule: non-coding RNA, 45 nt
Filed under: Schistosoma curassoni
Lineage: Eukaryota; Metazoa; Platyhelminthes; Trematoda; Strigeidida; Schistosomatidae
Source: RNAcentral
CUUUAACUGACGAGUCUCAAAUGGGACGAAACACACGUCCUAGAU